AUGACAGUAAAAGGUAUAAGGAUAGAAAAGUGGAGCAUGAGAGAGGUGGUCGACGUCCAGAGACCAGGCAGAAUAGACGCCAAAAGGCCUCUGCUCUGUACAAAAAGAAGCUUUUAGAACAGACAAAGAGGCCUUUGCGCCCCCUGUUGCCAAUUUUGCCUAAUGGAGCAAUUUCUUCGUUCUCUACUGCUGAUGGGAAGAGUUUGAUGCCUGAGGCUGCCCCAAGCUAUCUGUCUUCUCCAGCGGAAGAUGGCUUCAUAAAUGGAUUCACCCCACAGCAAAUAGGCCAGUUGCAUUGUUUGAUACAUGAACAUGUGCAGCUUCUUAUUCAAGUGUUUUCCCUUAGCAUUCUUGAUCCUUCCCGGCAACAGAUUGCCUCCCAGGUUCAGGGAUUAAUUUUUGAGAUGCUUCAUAAACGUGAUGAAGUAAUAGCCUGCGGAAGUGUGCCAUAUCCUUGUAUUUGCUUUCGCCCUCCCUAUAUGUGCCCGUCAGUGACAGAUGAACCCUCCAACGAUAACCCAGCGCAAUGCACUGAAUCCUCUUCUACUCCAAACGAACAGAUGUUAGUUUCUCAAAACAUUUCCAUGGCCAAGGGAAGAAAUAAUCCUGUUUUCAAUGGUCAGAAUAGUUCCCCACAAACUGCUGGCUUGUUCUGGGCACCAUUCAUGGGUGAUCCAAUAAUAUCCAUUCUAGAUGUAGC
Molecule: unclassified non-coding RNA, 700 nt
Filed under: Hevea brasiliensis (rubber tree)
Lineage: Eukaryota; Viridiplantae; Streptophyta; Magnoliopsida; Malpighiales; Euphorbiaceae
Source: RNAcentral